UUUUUCUGAAUAUAAAAUCAUAUUAAUUCAAAACAGUCGUAAACAUUUAAGUGAAAUGUCCAAGUCUCAUAACUCCUGGCCUAGGAGAUAACUAGAGUUGGAACACACUCCUAUAGGAUUCUCAUUAGUAGACGUGUAUGGUUUUCCUCCUAAAAGUGAGAUGUUUACUAGGUCGAACUGGUUUUGCUCUCCAGAAUCAAUUCUGUUCCUUUCUAUGCCAGUGUAUAAUUCAUUUUUUCUAAUGACUGUGCAAUAUUCCCUUGUACACAUGUGCUAUAAUUUAAGCAAGCUCAUUUUAGCAACAGUUGGUUUUUUCCUAGUUCUCCCAUUAAAACGGAGCCUCGGACCUCCCAGAACCAUUUGGGACAUCACGGUGAAAUGUCAAUAGCAGACCCUUACCAGGCAACUGUGGGGACUUCCUAAAAGCCCACAGUGCCCUGUACGAGGAAGAACAGGAGGCUGUUAACAGUUACUACCUGACGUCACACACAACCCCCUCCCCCAUGCUGACUGCAGAGCUCGCAAAUCUGCCAGGAUGGGAAGGGCAUGAUUCCAGCCAUCCUCCUUGUAUCCCAAGGAAGACGAACUUGGGUGCAGGUGCUCUGCACACAGCAGCAGACAACCCUGCUCCAGCUGCAGAGCUGUACCGGUACCGCAUGUGGCUGUAGGAGUUGGGCAGAUGUGGGAAGCUGCACGCUGAAGGAAGUCACCUGUCACUCUGCCAUCCUGUGGGAGAGGUUCUGCUUGCUGGAUUCAUCACUCAUGGAACUCCGUCGUCCUUUUAACUUGGGUAGGUCCCAAGAGAAAUGCUUGCAAUAGCUCCUGAGGAAGGCCUGAAGCACCACCUGUUUGUAGUUCAUGUGUUGUCACUCAUCUGGUAGCUCACCUUACUGGUAUGAGGUCACAUCCACACCUGCAGCCUCUCCACCUUGCCUGGAUCUCUCUUCAGCUUUCUCAACUCCCACAUGAGGUGUGAAGAUAUGGAACUCGACAAUGAAGCUGCCUUCUACCUUCUGUAGGCCAUCCAUGUCAUCAAGAUCAGAAGCAAUUGGGACUGAUGAGUUUCAGUAGGUAUCAGUCUGUUCUCAUAAACCCCAGGUGACAAUGGCAGGUCCCAGAGUGCAUUCGAUGUGCCCCACCUCCCAUGCAUCUCCUCUUCCCUGAUCUUUCUAUGAACUUCAAGUUUCGGGUAUGAAGCAAUAUAUCUGUCAGAGACAGCAUAACUAGCUGCUAAAAUGGUGUAAGACUAAUUCCUGAAACGUAUUCCUUCAUAUAUAAGUAUAGAUAUGCUAACACAUAUGUCCGUGUGUGUAAAUAUAUGCACACCAAUAUACCUGUAUAUCUGCAUAUAUAGCUGUACACAUGUAUGUAACUUUGCUUCACUACACCCUAAGCUGUCUUUAUAUAAAUUUUCAUCAUCAUCACAACUCCCCAGUAAGCUAUGCUUUUUGUCAAAGUAAAAUUUCCCCUUCAAACAUUAAAUAUUUUAUGUCUUUUACUUUACAUAAUAAUCAUUACUCCCAUUUUUGUUUGCUAUAUUCCUGAUUGCUUCUCCAUCUGCGGUAUGUUGAAUAAAAAUCAG
Molecule: long non-coding RNA, 1582 nt
Organism: Mus spicilegus (steppe mouse)
Lineage: Eukaryota; Metazoa; Chordata; Mammalia; Rodentia; Muridae
Source: Ensembl